RNAcentral lists this ribosomal RNA (461 nucleotides) under Salmonella enterica subsp. enterica serovar Anatum. Its description in RNAcentral is "bacterial LSU rRNA". It matches the Rfam family "Bacterial large subunit ribosomal RNA", at positions 454 to 816 of the family's 2925-position model. Lineage: Bacteria; Pseudomonadati; Pseudomonadota; Gammaproteobacteria; Enterobacterales; Enterobacteriaceae. The record is from RNAcentral.
CAUCCUCCAAGGCUAAAUACUCCUGACUGACCGAUAGUGAACCAGUACCGUGAGGGAAAGGCGAAAAGAACCCCGGCGAGGGGAGUGAAAAAGAACCUGAAACCGUGUACGUACAAGCAGUGGGAGCCCCACCACUAAGCCAGUGGUGAACUCCACAUACGCAUCCUUUGCUGAGGAUACGGUUAACGGAGCGAAAGCGACGUUCAACCGCAAAAGAAGCAGAGGGGGCUUAGUGGUGGGGUGACUGCGUACCUUUUGUAUAAUGGGUCAGCGACUUAUAUUCUGUAGCAAGGUUAACCGAAUAGGGGAGCCGUAGGGAAACCGAGUCUUAACCGGGCGUUAAGUUGCAGGGUAUAGACCCGAAACCCGGUGAUCUAGCCAUGGGCAGGUUGAAGGUUGGGUAACACUAACUGGAGGACCGAACCGCCUAAGGUUGAAAAAUUAGCGGAUGACCUGUGGCU